RNAcentral lists this ribosomal RNA (238 nucleotides) under uncultured bacterium. RNAcentral's name for it is "partial 16S ribosomal RNA". It matches the Rfam family "Bacterial small subunit ribosomal RNA", at positions 539 to 776 of the family's 1533-position model. The record is from RNAcentral.
CGUUAAUCGGAAUUACUGGGCGUAAAGCGCGCGUAGGCGGCUUUGCAAGUCGGGUGUGAAAUCCCCAGGCUUAACCUGGGAACUGCAUUCGAGACUGCAUUGCUAGAGUAUGGGAGAGGGAAGUGGAAUUUCCGGUGUAGCGGUGAAAUGCGUAGAUAUCGGAAGGAACAUCAGUGGCGAAAGCGACUUCCUGGACCAAUACUGACGCUCAUGUGCGAAAGCGUGGGGAGCAAACAGG